RNAcentral lists this small RNA (1741 nucleotides) under Pan troglodytes (chimpanzee). RNAcentral describes it as "processed transcript". Lineage: Eukaryota; Metazoa; Chordata; Mammalia; Primates; Hominidae. The record is from RNAcentral.
AUUAAACCAUAAAAAUAAGAUAGGCUAGAGUAAGAGAUGGGCCUGGAAAAAUAUUGAUAGAGAUCGGCCCAUAUGUUGAGGGGAAAAAAUAAAGGCAGUCCUCUACAUAUAUCAAUACUGUUCUCUGGGUUUUCAAGAGAAAUCCCUUGAAGGUAGACAAAAUGGUAAAUGUCACAAGAAUAAAAAUCAAAGCCUGCAAGUUGACUGCUGCAGACAGAAUGGAGAAACUUGUUGUUUUGGUUGGCCUGAUGGUCCACUUUUUUUUUUUUUAAACAGAUGCCAUGUUUUAGUAGCCUUCUCAGUGGGAUGCCAGCUUUAUAGGCUUUUGCAAAGUGAAACGGGGCAUUCAUUUUAUUUCUUUUAACCUUUGGAAAUGAUCUCAUGUGUGUGUUUCUCUUUUUUUGGACUUGUCAUUCAAAUGUUUAAUUUAAACAUGUCACAUUUGAUAUUCCUCCUCCUCCUGUCCUCACCCCCAUCCACAUGUGCGCACACUGCGUGGACUGAUUGCCCCUUGGGCUCAUAUGUUGGAAUCGACCAGGUAGGCCAGCCCUGCCAUUGGGGCAUUAGUAAAUGUGCCUGUGCGUGGGUCUCGGUCCAACACAGUUGAUAUACAUUUGUUUACCUGUUAUAGUUGCAAGUUGUACAGGCUGACAUUGCCUCGAUCGACAGUGAUGCUGUCGUUCACCCGACAAACACUGACUUCUACAUCGGUGGUGAAGAAACACGCUGGAGAAGAAAGGUGGCAAGGAGUUUGUGGAAGCUGUCCUGGAACUCCGGAAAAAGAACGGGCCCUUGGAAGUAGCUGGAGCUGCUGUCAGCGCAGGCCAUGGCCUGCCUGCCAAGUUUGUGAUCCACUGUAAUAGUCCAGUUUGGGGUGCAGACAAGUGUGAAGAACUUCUGGAAAAGACAGUGAAAAACUGCUUGGCCCUGGCUGAUGAUAAGAAGCUGAAAUCCAUUGCAUUUCCAUCCAUCGGCAGCGGCAGGAACGGUUUUCCAAAGCAGACAGCAGCUCAGCUGAUUCUGAAGGCCAUCUCCAGUUACUUCGUGUCCACAAUGUCCUCUUCCAUCAAAACGGUGUACUUCGUGCUUUUUGACAGCGAGAGUAUAGGCAUCUAUGUGCAGGAAAUGGCCAAGCUGGACGCCAACUAGGCUGAGCAACGACAGAACCAGCUGCACCAUGUACCCCACCUUCAGUUUAAAAGAAAAAAAAAAUCCCCUUCACUCCUACUGGGAGGUGGGACCCCUUUCAUUUUCAGUUUUGCUCAUCUAGGGAAAAUAAGGCUUUGGUUUCCAGUUUAAUUGUUUUUGACCUUCUAAAAUGUUUUUAUGUUAGCACUGAUAGUUGGCAUUACUGUUGUUAAGCACUGUGUUCCAGACCGUGUCUGACUUAGUGUAACCUAGGAGAUUUUAUAGUUUUAUUUUAAUGAAACCCUGAUUGACGCACAGCAGUGGGGAGAACAGCAUCUUUUACCUGUCACCGAAGCCAGGAAGCCCCGUUUGUAAGCGUGUGUUGUGGUGCUUUAUCGUACAUCCAGUGGCGUUCUUUUUACUCUAAUGUUCUUUUUGUUUCCCCCCUCAGAAGAAUCAUGACUUUGCAACAGACCUAAUUUUUGGUUACUUUUUGUCUUAUUGAUGGAUUUGCAAAUGAAAGAUUUAAUAAGGCAAAGCAGAAUCUGUUGUCCUUAAUUAUAUUUGCAAUUUGGAAUUUGUGUGAGUUGAUUUAGUAAAAUGUUAAACCGUU